AUUGAACGCUGGCGGCAUGCCUUACACAUGCAAGUCGAACGGCAGCGGGCCUUCGGGUGCCGGCGAGUGGCGAACGGGUGAGUAAUGCAUCGGAACGUGCCAUUGAGUGGGGGAUAACGUAGCGAAAGUUACGCUAAUACCGCAUAUUCUGUGAGCAGGAAAGCAGGGGAUCGCAAGACCUUGCGCUCUGGGAGCGGCCGAUGUCGGAUUAGCUAGUUGGUGGGGUAAAGGCCUACCAAGGCGACGAUCCGUAGCGGGUCUGAGAGGAUGAUCCGCCACACUGGGACUGAGACACGGCCCAGACUCCUACGGGAGGCAGCAGUGGGGAAUUUUGGACAAUGGGCGAAAGCCUGAUCCAGCCAUGCCGCGUGAGUGAAGAAGGCCUGGUGUAAGCUCUUCGUGGAGAAUAGCAUAGGCGUAAUAACCCU
This 428-nucleotide ribosomal RNA is filed under the name uncultured bacterium. RNAcentral describes it as "bacterial SSU rRNA". It matches the Rfam family "Bacterial small subunit ribosomal RNA", at positions 30 to 467 of the family's 1533-position model. The record is from RNAcentral.